UCUACAGAACAGAGGCUCAUUUUCCCCAGCACACACGUUUGCACAGAGCAGGGUCCUCUGGCCUCCACAAUGUCAGCUCCUGCCUCUGAACCCAGCCCCCUUCCCUACCUGCUGCUGGCUCUGCUGUUGGGACUCACAGGUGUGGCAGGUGAGGCAGAGCUGCAGGUGAUCCAGCCUGAGAAGUCAGUGUCUGUUGCGGCUGGAGAGACAGUCACUCUGCGCUGCACCCUGACCUCCCUGAUCCCUGUUGGGAAGGUUGAGUGGUUCAGGGGGACCGGGCCAGGCCGGGAGUUGAUCUUCCAUUACAAAGGAGGCCACUUCCCCCGAGUAACAAAUGCUUCAGACUCUACAAAGAGGAACAACACGGAUUUUUCCAUCCGCAUCAGUAAUACCACCACAAAAGACACGGGAACCUACUAUUGUGUGAAGUUCCAGAAAGGAAACCCCGAUGUGGAGUUGAAGUCUGGACCAGGCACCCUGGUCAUCGUGAGUGCCAAACCCUCUCCCCCCGUGGUGUCCGGCCCCACGGCCAGGGCCACGCCUCAGCAGACAGUGAGCUUCACCUGCAAGUCGCACGGCUUCUCCCCCAGAAACAUCACCCUGAGAUGGUUCAAAAACGGGAAUGAACUGAUAGCCUCUCAGACCAGUGUGUACCCAGAAGAAGACAACGCUUCCUACAGCAUCUCUAGCACAACCAAGCUGGUGCUGGCCCUGGGGGACAUUCGCUCCCAGGUCAUCUGCGAGGUGGCCCACGUGACCCUGCAGGGGGGCCCUCCUCUUCGUGGGACUGCCAACUUGUCUGAGACCCUUCGAGUUCCGCCCACCUUGGAGGUUUCCCAGCACCCCAUGGCAGGGGACCAGGUGAAUGUCACUUGCCAAGUGAAGAAGUUCUACCCUCAGCGCCUACAGCUGACCUGGUUGGAGAAUGGAAACGUGUCCCGAACAGAAACUCCCUCAGUGGCCUCCAACCUCCUAGAGAACAAGGAUGGGACCUUUAACUGGAUGAGCUGGCUCCUGGUGAAUUCAUCCACCCACAGGGAAGAUGUUGUGUUCACCUGCCAGGUGCAGCAUGACGGGCAGCCUGCAGUCACCAAAAACCAUACCCUUGUGGCCUCUGCCUCCCAAAAGGACCAGAAAACACAGAAAACCCAAGGAGGAGGUUGAGCCAGGUUUCCAGAAGUCUGCUCUGGAGUCCCUCUCAAAGGCCCAUGAUCCUUCUAACAUGCCCUAUGGCAUUGUCUUCACUGCUCAGUCAGCACUGGGUCAUCGAGUGUCCAUGUUCUUGCUGGCUCUGAGAGUAGAGAGAGUGUCUGCUCCACUGCUGACAGCCCUCCUCCUGAGCCCAAAGCUGCUGCUGCUCAUCACUGUCUCUGCCAUCUAUGCCCACAGGAAGCAAGGACCUAACUGUGCCCCAGGAGGAAAAUAGCACCAAGGACAUAGCAGACACGUGGGGAACAUUUCUGGAAUGAUGAGCAGAUAAUUAAAUGUGGACAUGGAUCCCACACCUCUUUCCUCCUCCCCUGCCACACGCCACCAUCAGUGUCUGCUGCCUCCUUCCUUCCCUGAGAGGCCCAGCCUAAGAGAAGGAACAACUAGACGCUUCCACAAUUCUGCUCCAUAUGCAUUGCUUCCCCCAGACGCCAGCCUACCCACAGAUCUUGCGGCUCCUUCUCACAGUCCUUCUGCCCUCAGCACUGGGUCUUCAUCCCUGGGCCUGAGCAGGAUCCAUGGGAACUUGCUCUGGGGACUUAUGUAAGGACAUAUGUCUGGAAUAUGAGGAACAGUUCACAUCUACACAUAUCAGGCAUCUCAACCAUCUCCUGGGGACUGUGGCCAUGAACUACACAGUCACGUCCAUACUCUCAGGACGUAUUCCUGCCAAGACCCAGAUUUCCCAGCCUUGGUGAGGUUCCCCAUUGUGUCUUGAACAGAAAUGAAUUCCAUCCUGGUCUGAUGAAGAGAAAUGAUUCUCCUUCUUCUGCCUCCAUGUCCUACUCCUCAAUCCCAGAGAGAAAAUUCCUUCCUCCCAGUGAUUGAAAGGUUAGCUCUUCUGUCACCUUCAGUCAUCCCAACCCCACUGCUCAUGUACACCAGCUGGCAGUCCAGGAGGCCGGAGCCAUCCUUGAUAUCCUUUCAUUAUAUACCACAUUCAAUUCUGCCUUUGGAAUUCUAAGUCCCAAUGUUAAAUAAUCUACUCCCAGAAAGGAAAAGAAACCUGAUUUGUAGUGCUUAUGGACAUCUGUGGUGUCAACACUCCGACGUGGCCAAUGACAAGCUGCCAGCACUUUCACAAUUAGCUCACAAAACUCUCAGGAGUGAGUGUAAGCCUCCUCCCGCACACCAGUGAGCUCUACCCAGAGUCUGCACACUGUUCCCUCCCAGGGCUGCUUGCUCCCUGAUCCUGGCCACCAGCAUCUGUUCCUGGACCAUUGCUUCCUCUCUAGCAGGCCCUCUAGUUUCAGCCACAGUGAUUCCUUAAAAAUGGAAGUCAAAGUAUAUGUCUCCUCUGUUUCCUCCCCCUAAGGAUCUGCAUGACCGUCUCUCCCUCUUUCAAGUUCUGCUGACAUGUCACUUUAUUUAAAGCCCCUUACAUAAACCACCCUUAUAAAAUAUCAAUUCCUUUCUCUUGCUCUGUGUUCUGAUAGAUCAUAGCUGAAUUGAAUUGUUUCCCUAGAACUUAUGGUCAGCGGACAUGAUAAAUGGAGGCCGAAUAAAUAAAUAAAUAAGUAAAUAAAUCAAUAAAUAAAUAAAUAUAAAAAAAUAAAAAAUAAAAAAUAAAUGGAGGCCAGUGCUCAUUUUGUAGGAGAUUGCGGGACAGAAACUAUCACUGUUUGGCUGGAACAUGCAACGUUAACUCAGUAAUCAACGGGCAAAAUAAUGAUUCUUCUGUGACCUUCACAAAUGUUUUUCAAAACAUAGAAAAUCUCUUUAGCUAUCUAUUGUGAAAGUUAUAGGGAAAUUAAAAAACAAUAAAACUAUUGUUUACUUGAUAUACGGUCAUUUGAAACAUUAGCAACACUGAAAAGGCUUGUGUUUUAUUUUUUGUAAAGACCUAUCAAGAGUAGUUUGCACAGUGCUUGCAUUCUUCUGACCUCACACUUGACAAUAUAGAGUCAGCAUCUGAGUUAUCUCACUCUGUUCUCAAUGGGAUCAGCUUCCAACAUUCCAACUCUUGCACUUUCUUUUUAUUUUUUUAAUUGUUUUUUAACUCUUGCACUUUCAAUGUUGUGAAAUCUUUACAGUAUUAAUUUAAUUAUUUGCUGGUGUCACUUCCUUGGGACAUUUUCACACAUCGCCCCUGCUUCAACCACCACUCUCCUGUUUCACGGGGUAAGUUUGCCUUCAUUCUGUUCCUUAGGCUGCAUAUCCACACACUGGGGACCAGCAUCCCUGUCACCAUUCCCAUGGUAGCUAGGCCUUUAUGAGCUCCACUCACAUUCAACGUGAACUUCACCUGCAGCCUCAUCUCUUCUUGUUUCUCCAUUGCACUCUCAGCUUUGUGCCAAUUCCCUUUUGUCAUUUUUUCCAGCUUUAUGCAAUGUCGCUGUGGUUCAUUGCUGAGAGAACAGAGCACAACACAACAGCCUGUGCUGCUGUGUGUGGUAAAAUAAGUAACGGAGUCACAGAGAUGAACCAUUACAGUCUUUGAAAGAUGUGAUGCUUACUUAUCGUGAUGAGCAUUUGCUAGUUACAUAGGGAUUUGUGGCCUGAGGAAGAAGCAGCAGUAAAGUUUGUACUUCAUGCCGUUGCUCGUGGUAAAUUCCUUGUGGUCAAUAAAACUUGAAAUGUG
RNA transcript from Canis lupus familiaris (dog), 3790 nucleotides. It is a transcript of the gene named signal-regulatory protein beta-1-like, with no coding region annotated. NCBI's taxonomy places the organism in Eukaryota, Metazoa, Chordata, Mammalia, Carnivora, Canidae. The transcript is spliced from 7 exons. The record is from RefSeq and is a predicted model, not a curated record.